Sapajus apella (tufted capuchin) is the source of this 389-nucleotide long non-coding RNA. RefSeq lists it as uncharacterized. The record is from RefSeq and is a predicted model, not a curated record. NCBI's taxonomy places the organism in Eukaryota, Metazoa, Chordata, Mammalia, Primates, Cebidae. The transcript is spliced from 2 exons.
AUUCUCCUUCCUCAGCCUCCCGAGUAGCUGGGACUACAGGUAAUCAUGUGUGGAUAAAGGACGGGAGUACAGCCCCUCUAAAGCCACAAUGGAAAGGACCUCAGACCUGAUCCUGACCAAUCCCACAGCUGUGAAGGUAGAGGGACUCCCAGCCUGAAUCCACCUCAGCUGUGUAAAAACCAGCAACAGCUGAGACUUAGACCAAGGCAAGGACUGCAGAAUCACCUUAAAAAGGACAACAAGCCUUGCUCCAGCCACAUCCCGGAAGCUGGCUGGUCCACACACAGCCGAAGCAUGAGGAGAUUCAUCGUAGGACUGGUUCUUCUUAAUUUUUGGACUUGCACAGUAGGAACAUUAAUUUUGAAGAAUGCCCUCAGUAUGUACACCAG